This 467-nucleotide ribosomal RNA is filed under the name uncultured bacterium. Its description in RNAcentral is "partial 16S ribosomal RNA". It matches the Rfam family "Bacterial small subunit ribosomal RNA", at positions 339 to 795 of the family's 1533-position model. The record is from RNAcentral.
CUACGGGGCGCACCAGUGGGGAAUAUUGGACAAUGGGGGAAACCCUGAUCCAGCAAUGCCGCGUGUGUGAAGAAGGCCUGCGGGUUGUAAAGCACUUUCGGUUGGGAGGACUGCUUCUAGCACUAAUAUUGUUGGAAGUUGACGUUACCUUCAGAAGAAGCACUGGCGUAACUCCGUGCGCAGCAGCCGCGGUAAUACUGAGGGUGCAAGCUUUAAUCGGAAUUACUGGGCGUAAAGCGCGCGUAGGCGGCUAGAUCAGUCGGGUGUGAAAGCCCCGGGCUUAACCUGGGAACUGCAUCCGAUACUGUCUAGCUUGAGUACAGGAGAGGAGAGUGGAAUUCCACAUGUAGCGGUGACAUGCGUAGAUAUGUGGAGGAACACCAAUGGCGAAGGCAGCUCUCUGGCCUGAUACUGACGCUGAGGUGCGAAAGCGUGGGGAGCAAACAGGAUUAGAUACCCCCGUAGUC